GUUGCUGAGGACGAGCUCAUGAGAAUUCUCAUUCUUGUGAGGAAUUUCUUGCCUGGUUACCAUCAGGCUAUUACCGGAGAAUGGAAUGUUGCUGGAAUUGCACAUAGAGCCUAUGAUCUUGAAGGAAAGACAGUUGGAACGGUUGGUGCGGGACGAAUCGGGAAGCUUUUACUCCAAAGGCUGAAACCCUUUAACUGUAACCUUUUAUAUCAUGAUAGACUUAAGAUGGAGCCUGAAUUGGAGAAAGAAAUUGGAGCUCAGUUUGAGGAGGAUCUUGAUGCUAUGCUACCAAAAUGCGACAUUAUUGUUAUGAACAUGCCUCUCACUGAUAAGACAAGGUAUAAUUUUAGUACUAAUAGCAUUCUAUUCAAGCUAUUUUUGACACUUGAAAUCUGAAGUCUAUAAGGGAAUUCAAGAUAUUCCAAUAUCAAAAUGACUUGGUUUUGAAUGAUGAGUGUGAGUACGUAUUCCAUGCGUUGUGUAUUCAUGCGUUGAAUGAGCAAACUUUUUUCUUUUUGUGAUUCAGAGGAUUGUUUGACAAAAAUAGAAUUGCCAAGUUGAAGAAAGGUGUCUUGAUUGUCAACAAUGCUCGCGGAGCACUUAUGGAUACACAAGCAGUUGCUGAUGCUUGUUCCAGUGGACACGUUGCAGGUAAUUCUAAAACCAGCCGACAUAAAAUGUGUUUCGAAGCAAAACAAAAAUUUAUGUUUGAAGUAAUGUAACACCUGAGUUUCAUCUAUAGGUUACAGUGGUGAUGUUUGGUUCCCACAACCAGCUCCAAAAGAUCAUCCAUGGCGCUACAUGCCUAAUCAUGCUAUGACUCCUCAUAUUUCUGGAACUACCAUUGAUGCACAGGUAGUUUAUUUUUGACAAAAUUACUUCACUCCUUUAUCUUAAUUUCUCGUUUCUGAGUUAGUCCUUUCAUUCUUUUUCUCUUUUCAUUUUAGCCUCACACUUUGCAUGCAUGCUUUUAAAUGAUAGUUUUGAGGCAAACUGUAGCGCCAUAUACUAGGAGAAAUGAAAACAAUUAUGUAGCACCGACAUUUCAUAUUGUAGGCGUGUCUAGUGUCCAACACGUGUCAAUAUUGAACAUGUGUCCGUAUUUGAUACUGACACAUGUGGUAGCAUACAAUUAUUUUAUUUUCUCGAAUUAUUACACGAGUGUUUGUACCCUUUAUAAAUACAAUGUGAUUAUGUGAUACAUCAACUGUGUCAUGAAUCAAAAUCCAAAAAACUGUUUUAGAAAGCCAACAUCAUGCCAACAUUGUUAAUGUUCUAGACUAUGCAUACAUAACCUUUUUGUUUGGCUAAGUUCAUUGACUACAUUUUCUCCAUUUUGUGUGUGAAACACUGAUGAUGAUAAUAAUUGAAACUUGUCCAGUUACGUUAUGCUGCUGGAGUCAAAGAUAUGCUUGAGAAGCACUUUAAGGGUGAAGACUUUCCUGAACAGAACUACAUUGUGAAGGAGGGUCAAUUGGCAAGCCAAUACCGGUGAAUGUAGUAUCGAAGAGUGGUUCUGACUUCUGCGUCUUGUGUUUUUAAGGCCAAUGAAUUACUAAAUAAAGAUAUCCGCGGCAUUGUAAUAAUGUACUCGGCUUUGUUGAGGUUGUAACUUGUUUAAUAAAAUUGCAAUGGACACAAGUAUCAUUCUUGUGUUUUUUUCUGAAUUUCAGUGUUCUGUUGGUAGUUAGUGUAUGUGUGUUUGAGUUAAGCAUUGAAUUACUCUUGGUAGAAUGUGAAUUUAAACAAUUCAACCUUUGAAUUGAAAAUAUUUAACUGAUAUAAUCCACGAGUCACUACAUUAGCAUGCCUCCUAGUGAAUUCCAUUAUUGAGUUUGGACAAUAUAGGGUAUUAAACCGGAUACAACUUUUUAUUAUAUAACCCAACCCAGAUGAUUCAAAAGUAUGGGUAUUAAAAUGAUCUAUCUAUAAAGCACAGACACAAUUAAAUGUAAUUGUAUGUACCAGUGUCAUGUCGACAUAUGUGUUGAACGUCAAACACAUCUUUGAUCAAAAGUGUCAGUGCUUUAGAGUCUACUACUUUCUACUUUAGAAUCUAGUGAUUUUCAUAUCGGUGUCGAACAAACAUGUGUCGAACGUCAAAUAUGUCUUUGAUCAAAAAUGUCAGUGCUUCAGAGUCUAUUAACUAUUUUAGAAUCUAGUUCAAAAAUCACGUUAUGAACUCCCAUAUCACUAAUUCAAAAGAAUAGCUUGCAGCAGGCCUGUCUUUAAGCAACUUGAAGCUUGGACAAAUUUUUAUUAUAUAUAAACAUUUUUUUUUAAAUAUAUUAUAUAUAAACUUUUAUAAGUGUUAUAUAUCUACUACAAAGUGUCAUUUCUAGUUUUAUCAUAUAAUAAUUCAUUCUUCUUGUAAGACUUUUUACAAAAAUGUGUUUGACUCUUAAUUUAACAUUUCUAUAAAUUUUUAGAUGUAUUUUUUACUCUUUUUCUGAAUAUAUCUCUUAUAAAAACUACCAAUUUGUCUUGCAAUGUAAAAAAAUAAUAUUGAAAAAUAUAAUGGUGGAACCAAUUUCUUAAGUGAAAAAUAAAAUCAUCCACAAUGGAUGGAAGGGUCUUAUCUUAAAGGCAAGAUACCUAAAAGAUACUCAUUAUAGAGCAAAAUAAAAAAAUGAUUACAUAUUGUGAAGAGGUGCUUUGUGAAUCACUCUUUUUUUUCGAUGGAACCUAUGUUUUUUAAUAUUAGAAUAAUGAAAUAUAAUGUUUUUUUUUUUUGUUGUUGAGGGAAGCAUGCUUAUAGCAUUUCAUUGAUAAUAAUAGUUUCAAUAUAAUUGGGUAUAUCGAAAUAAACGGCGGGACUAGCUAAAGACGUGGCCUCUCUUGCAAGAGCAUGAGCAACCGCGUUGGCUUGUCGCCUAACAAACUCCACCCUAGAGUUAGAAAAUAAAUUGUUGAACGAUAGGAUGAAUUGAUACAACCAAAUUGAGGCUAUCUCAAAAUCAACAUUAUCAAACUGCAUAUCACUCAACCAUUGCAGAGCAAAGUGGAGCCCUAAAGCUUCACCCACAACCAUUGUCAAACGGCUAGAAUGAAAUAUAAUGUUAUAAAGUUUUUGAUAAAUGAUUAAUAGAUUUUAUUUAAAAAAAUUGUGUGAAAUACUGGUGGGAGAAAAAUUAUAAAUAAAUUAUACGUACAAGUGAAACUCGUUUAAUACCAAAAAAAAUAGAUGUCUCUGCUGUAAUUUUGUAGAUGCUCUAAAACCAAAAUUUUAAGCAAGUCUUUUGUGUUUUUAUUACGUAAAGCUUGAUAAUUCUUCUGCACAUUUUGUUCUUUCUUUUUUUGGGCUAUUAUUACGCAUCUUUUUCCUCAGAAGGGUUUGGUCCAAAAGCAUGGUGUCUUUGGCAUCACAAAGGCAUUUAAGCGUGAUCCGUAAAUACAGCAUGAUGAUUAUUUAUGUUUCCUUUCGUGUGUAUGAACUACAUCACAUUUCUUUCUUCUUAGACAAUUUGUGAGUUCUUUUCAAUUUUGAGUGAAGUUUGAAAAAAUGGUUUGUUUCCUUACCUUUUAUCUUUGUUCGAUUGUUGAUUUGAUUGUCAAAACACGAUUUUUUAUGAUUGAUCAUAUGAGAGUCAUGUUUUCUCAUGUUUCAGAGUCAAGUCCACAUUCAUGUUUAUGUGUGCUACCUAUUUGUACACCAUAACAUUUGUUACUUAAGUGUCGAUAAAUGUAUGAACAGUAAAGAUUUUUAAAAAAUGACGUACAGAGGAAGGGCACUGUUAGAAAUCAUGUGCUCUUCUUUCCUUUUUUUUCCUCUUCGUUUUUGUGUUUUUUAAUUUUUAAAAUUGGCAAUAUCCAUGCACAAACACACUUAGAGAUGCCACGUCAACCAAAAUUGAGGGAAAAUGUGGGAGGCAUCAUGAAAUUGCACAACUGAGAAACUUGUAGGGUUAAAAUCGCCGAACAAAAAUCAAGGGGUCUAAAUCGGACAAUUAAAAAAUUUAGGGGGUUAAAAGUGCAAUUAAACUUUAAUAUUAUCAUUUACAAGAGAAAAUUAUUUUAGUCUUUUCAUGUGUGAGGUAUUAUCAAUGUAGUUUACAAGUUACUUAUUUGUGUUCGUAAUUUUAUUGAUUAAAAUGAUCAACGGAAAACACAUUUAAAGAUUAAACUAAAAUAACUAACAAAACUUACUUUACGGGUAGAUAUAUUUUUGUAAUUUUGAUACAUUUAACAGCGGCUCAUACAUUCAGUUAUGUAUGUUUUGUUUUGUUCUUUGACUUUUCUUAUACAAUUAUUAUUGAGAAUAGGCCUCUGAAGGAAAGAAGAAAAUUGUAGGUGUGUUCUACAAAGGAAAUGAGAAUGCUGCAUCCAAUCCCAAUUUUGUUGGAUGUGUUGAAGGAGCAUUAGGUAUACGUGAGUGGCUUGAAUCACAAGGACAUGAAUACAUUGUCACUGAUGACAAAGAAGGACCUGAUUCUGGUUAGAAUUUUGACAAAUUAAUCCACCCUCUUUAAACUUUAUCUUAAAAGUUUAUGAUUGCAUUAACUUAUGACUAUCUCUUAGACUGUUACCAGAACUCGAGAAGCACAUUCCCGAUCUGCAUGUCCUGAUAUCUACACCAUUUCACCCUGCCUAUGUAACCGAGGAAAGAAUUAAGAAAGCUAAGAAUUUACAGUUGCUUUUAACUGCUGGCAUUGGUUCCGAUCACAUUGAUCUCAAAGCUGCGGCUGCUGCUGGUUUAACCGUCGCAGAGGUCACAGGAAGCAACGUAGUAUCGGUUGCUGAGGAUGAGCUUAUGAGAAUUCUCAUUCUCGUGAGGAAUUUCUUGCCUGGUUACAAGCAGGCUGUUGCCGGAGAAUGGAAUGUUGCUGGUAUUGCACAUAGAGCCUAUGAUCUUGAAGGAAAGACGGUUGGAACAGUUGGUGCUGGACGAAUCGGGUAACUUUUACUCCAAAGGCUGAAGCCCUUUAACUGUAACCUUUUAUAUCAUGAUAGACUUAAGAUGGAGCCUGCAUUGGAGAAAGAAAUUGGAGCUCAGUUUGAGGACG
This 5003-nucleotide long non-coding RNA is filed under the name Medicago truncatula (barrel medic). RNAcentral describes it as "long non-coding RNA (MTRU_LNC003778)". Lineage: Eukaryota; Viridiplantae; Streptophyta; Magnoliopsida; Fabales; Fabaceae. The record is from RNAcentral.